RNAcentral lists this long non-coding RNA (1408 nucleotides) under Brassica napus (rape). Its description in RNAcentral is "long non-coding RNA (BNAP_LNC026734)". The record is from RNAcentral. Lineage: Eukaryota; Viridiplantae; Streptophyta; Magnoliopsida; Brassicales; Brassicaceae.
CGUCGAUCUUGAUGUUCAGAAGCACCAUCCCUGCCGUUAGAUCUUGGCUUAAAGCAGGCGAAAAGUAUGGGGCCACCGGCACGGAUGUUCCGUAGAGAAACGGCGACCAUACCGUCACAUCAAGGUGACCUUGGUAAGUCGCCGGCAGUAAAGUUGCCAACGUCACCUAUUCAAGAACUUAGCCAAAUUUUAGUCCCAAACUAUUAUUUAACAUCACAAAUAUUAUAAAUUAUAACUUCUUUAAACCAACAUGUAAACUCUAGUCAAUUCUCGUUUCUUUUUAAUACAUGCACGUUGAGAUCUCUGUCUAUUAACAAUUAAGAUUCGUCGGUCCUUUCGUAUAAGUACUUCUAACAUGAAUCUUUAGCGUACGAAAAAUAUAUCACGCGCGAAGAUUCCUCAGUACUCUGGUGUAUUCGUAAAAUAUGCAUUGAUGUUAAAAAGAAAACUAAACCCAAAUUAUGAAGUAUAGCUAGACAUAUUUUUGGUUUGUGAUCGGUCGUGUCACAACAAGGUUCGUCGGUCCAUUAUUUUUCUUGAUAACAUUUUUACUCUAGUAAGAUUUUUUUUUUUCAUCCCUUUGCUUAAACGUCAACACCACAUCGCUGGACAAGCUGGUACUUAACAGCUGGACCUUCACCGGAAAAGUGACCGGCAAGAGUAAUGUAAGCUGGACAAUUGACGUGUAGGCGGUACCUUCCGGAGAUCCACGUUCCCACUUUCCAUCGAACCCAACCGUCGAUCUUGAUGUUCAGAAGCACCAUCCCUGCCGUUAGAUCUUGGCUUAAAGCAGGCGAAAAGUAUGGGGCCACCGGCACGGAUGUUCCGUAGAGAAACGGCGACCAUACCGUCACAUCAAGGUGACCUUGGUAAGUCGCCGGCAGUAAAGUUGCCAACGUCACCUAUUCAAGAACUUAGCCAAAUUUUAGUCCCAAACUAUUAUUUAACAUCACAAAUAUUAUAAAUUAUAACUUCUUUAAACCAACAUGUAAACUCUAGUCAAUUCUCGUUUCUUUUUAAUACAUGCACGUUGAGAUCUCUGUCUAUUAACAAUUAAGAUUCGUCGGUCCUUUCGUAUAAGUACUUCUAACAUGAAUCUUUAGCGUACGAAAAAUAUAUCACGCGCGAAGAUUCCUCAGUACUCUGGUGUAUUCGUAAAAUAUGCAUUGAUGUUAAAAAGAAAACUAAACCCAAAUUAUGAAGUAUAGCUAGACAUAUUUUUGGUUUGUGAUCGGUCGUGUCACAACAAGGUUCGUCGGUCCAUUAUUUUUCUUGAUAACAUUUUUACUCUAGUAAGAUUUUUUUUUUUUGAACAACAGUACGAAUUUUUUUGUUCUUUUGAUUUUCCUAAGGAAAUGUUUUAACAAGAAUUGCAUCGAAGAAGCGCUAUAUAAUUCAACAUACCUGC